CCGUGAUAAAGUAGCAUAAUCACUCGUCAUUUAAUUGGUGACUGGAAUGAAUGGUUAAACGAAUCUUUAACUGUCUCAAGGAGAAAAUAAUUUAAUUUGAACUAACAGUGAAGAUGCUGUUAAAUGAUUAUAAGACGAAAAGACCCUAUCGAGCUUUACUAGACGCUUAUAGAAUUUUGAUAAAAAAGAAUUUAAAUCACUUAGCCUGUAAGCUUGUUAGUUUGGUUGGGGCGACCACCUCUAAAAAAGUAUCAGAGGAAUUCUAAAGGUUAAUUAAUAAUAUAUAAUGCCUUACUGAUAUACAAACUAGUUAAUCAAUCACCUACAGGUGAGAUAUAAUGACCCGUUAGACGAAUAUUAUAGUCUAACGAUUAUGAAAAAAGUUACCGUAGGGAUAACAGGGUAAUAUUUUCGAAGAGUUCAUAUCGAUGAAAAU
This 436-nucleotide ribosomal RNA is filed under the name Rhopilema hispidum. Its description in RNAcentral is "partial 16S ribosomal RNA". It matches the Rfam family "Bacterial large subunit ribosomal RNA", at positions 1946 to 2515 of the family's 2925-position model. Lineage: Eukaryota; Metazoa; Cnidaria; Scyphozoa; Rhizostomeae; Rhizostomatidae. The record is from RNAcentral.